UACAGGGGGGGCAAGCGUUGUUCGGAAUUACUGGGCGUAAAGGGCUCGUAGGCGGCCAACUAAGUCAGACGUGAAAUCCCUCAGCUUAACUGGGGAACUGCGUCUGAUACUGGAUGGCUUGAGUUUGGGAGAGGGAUGCGGAAUUCCAGGUGUAGCGGUGAAAUGCGUAGAUAUCUGGAGGAACACCGGUGGCGAAGGCGGCUUCCUGGACCAACACUGACACUGAGGAGCGAAAGCCAGGGGAGCAAACGGG
RNAcentral lists this ribosomal RNA (253 nucleotides) under uncultured bacterium. Its description in RNAcentral is "partial 16S ribosomal RNA". It matches the Rfam family "Bacterial small subunit ribosomal RNA", at positions 524 to 776 of the family's 1533-position model. The record is from RNAcentral.